RNAcentral lists this long non-coding RNA (3670 nucleotides) under Marmota monax (woodchuck). The record is from RNAcentral. Lineage: Eukaryota; Metazoa; Chordata; Mammalia; Rodentia; Sciuridae.
GUCUGAUUUAAGAAAGAAUGCUUACUGAGUCAGUACAACUUUACAUCUUUAGUGACUUUCUGUUAAUUUACAUGUGGAUGAAAAUUCACCUAAUGAAGUAAAAGACUCCUUGACACUUGAAUUUACUUAAAAACUUCUAUAGUGGACCAUGGCACUGUUUGGCCCAACCGCAGAGGAUUUUCCUGUACACAGCUGCUCCUUUCUAAAGCCAUGCUAGGAAGAGACCAGUUUCGAGCAGGGAUUGGGGAAGUAUCCCAAGUGAGACCACACCCAGGGUAAUUAGAAAAUGCAAGAAAAAAGUCAGAGAUGCAUUUUGACCUUUUGUUACCUCCUUCUUUAGGAGCAACAAUGGAAAAUAUUUAUAAUUAAUACAGAAAUCUAUUUAAGAAGGUCAGGAGUUUCUGAUAUCAUGUGUUCAAUGUUUGGCCAAUGGAAAGAGACAUGAGGAAGUGCUAGUCAGGGCUCAGGUGUGGAGGGUUUUCCCAUAGCAACAUUAUACUCAAAUGCUUUAUGUCUGAGCAUCACUUCUUCCCCUAAAAAUAAAAAGUAGUAUGCUCUCUUCUUCCUUUUUUUUCCUAAUCACUAUUACCAAAGUAUCAGUCAGAACCACACAUACUUUGUUUGCUGCCUUUAAAAAAAAAUUCCAUAUCAUUUGAAUAUAAACACAAUUUACUUAGCUGCAUAUGAUUGAAAUAUUUGCAUGAUGGUUUAUAAAUUAUGACCUAAAAGUUUUUAAAAAUAGUAUGAGCAUAACAUUUUAGUGCUCGAACAUUAUUACAUGUUCUUUGUAUCUGGGAUUCAUGGAGAAGGCUGUGAAUAUCUUUUCUUUUGCUGUCAUAUGCCAUUUUCUUGGAUGUGUAAAGACAUCUUGGUUUUGAAAUUUACAAAACCACUUUCAUCCUGAGCCUGCUUCCCUUUACUUUUCCCUCUCACCAAGUAUUGACUCCAACAUUAUAGUUUCUAGAGCUAAAUCUUUUGAAAUAUCCCCCCUCAAAAUCACAUCCACCCAUUUCACCCACACUGUCUCUCUCUUUCAAAAUACACCCACACUGACAGCUCUUCUAACCAUCAUCAGUACACUCGGCCAAGAUUCUCCUUUCUUAUGCCCUUAGCUGCUAGAGUCAAUUAUCAAAACAUUAGCUAACAUAAGCCUUCUAAAAUGUAAGCACUCAUUAUACUCUUCUCAAAACCCUUGGAAAGAACAAAACCCGAAGUCCUUACAAACAUGUAUGAGGAGAGUAGAUAUGAAGUCAUUAAGCACCAGUGUAUCAGAAUAGCAUAUUUUUUGAUUGGGCUGGCAUUUUUACCUAUAGGAGGCAAAAGAAGUGUUAAAUACUUUUAUAUUUUGUUUCUAAAGACCUCUCUCCUGGCUGUGACUUUUCUUACACCAUCUCUUAAGAAUAGCUCCUUUAUUAUUCUUAAGAAGAGCUCAAGAUUAUGGCGAAUCUUAGUGUUCGAUGAGCCUGCCAAAUGCACCUCUGCUUCAAGACUUUCACUCUUCUAUAGUCUUUAUAUUUCUCCCAGAUAUCUACAUAGCUCAUUCCCUCAUCUCCUUCAGGUCUACGUUCAAUUUUCUCCUUCUUAGUGAGAUCUCUCUCUUCUAAUUUAAAAUGAAAGAGCCCUAUAGUUGUUCAUAUUCUCCUUUUUUGCUCUAUUCAUUCUCCAUAGUAUUAAUCACCAGAUACACCACAUAGCUCAUCCACUUAUCUUACUUAACAUCUCUGUCCUAUAGAAUAUGAACCCCACAAGAGCAGGGAUUUUUGUCAGUCUGUUUACUCAUGCAUUACCAGUGCCUUGAAUAGUGCCUGGAACAUAGUAGCAGAUCCAAAAAAGAUUUCAUCAAAAUUUUAAUUGGUUUCUUCAAGUUACACUAUACAGUAACCAAUAACAUACAUUUAAGAGGAACUUUUGUAGUUUGUUUUUUUAACUUAAAAAAAUCUUAUUCCUCUUUCAAAGGGAAAACCUGCCUCUGAAAAUGAUGAAAUCAUGAACCAGAAAUUAUGUCUUCCUCUCUCUAAAUCUGAUCUCUAUCCCAGGGCCUAACUUCUACAUUUUUUUUUCCAGGUUUAUCUUUGAAAAUGACUCUAAAGUAAUUGGGCCCUAUACCCAUCAUGCACAUAGCUUAUAUUUAUUCUUUGAGACUAGAAUCUUCAUGUAGAACAUCAUUUUGAGAUCAAAACCAUACUGAAUUGCUCUUUGUUGAAUAUUCCAGUUCAUUUCAAAUUUAAAAGUUGCCAUGAGUUAAAGACCAUAAUUCCUCCAACAUUAGAAGCUAGUUUAAAAACUAUGCCAUAUAGUUAGUUACUUUACUGUAAAGGAGAAAACAAGGAUGUGGAAAAGGAGAAGAAGGAGGAGAAGGAACAGAAAUUAUGAUCAUUCCCUUUGAGUCAUAAUUAUAAGAUGAAUAGGAAAUUAUUUUGGUGUUUUAAAGAUCUAUCCAUAAUCUAGAAAUAUAUAUGUUGGAGCCAUUUAGUCUAUAAAUCCUUUUAACAGAAGUCUCAUAUCAAAUGGGUUUUAUAUUUCACAUAUAUUUUUAGUUUGAAAAUCUAUAGUUCUGAUGUACAAUAACAGGCAUUGUUUACCCUCAUAAUAUUCUAACUGGAUUCCCAACUUCCUUCUCCUCUUUAAUUCUAGAUAUACUUUUUAGAAUUUUACAGUCUUAUUUGUUACUCUCACCUAUCUCCAUAGUUUUAUUUCCUACCACUUGUUCUGUAUUCUCCAUAUUUUUACUAAUUAAAUAUCCUAGAUACUGAUUUUUGGAUGAGGGGUUUCAGAUUUUCAUCCUUCACUGUUUAUCUUUUUGUUCUUACCAACCCUUAUAUUUCUUUUACUCGCCUACAUUUUUGUGCCUUUCCCUCAAUGUGAUAGCUCAGACCUUCAGUUUUCAUCUCCUACCAGGCCUUCUGUGAAAAAGACACUGAAAAUAAAGACUUGGCAGGCGGUCCUGAUGAAGGAAGCUCAACCUGAAGAUUAAGGAUAGAUGUUUGAAAAAGUUUUCAGAAGUCAACCAGACUUUCAGUGGCUUUAGGAUCUAAGGGGUUUCACCUUGAGUAUUUCAUAGGAUGUCAAUAAUCAGUUUCACUUGUGUGCAUUGUCAUUCACAAGGAAUACACGGCAAUCAGGGUCAAAAGAUACUUUGGGAAAACCUUCUCUAGAGAAGAGUUUAAUGGCUCUUGCUCAGGAAAAAGGCAGAAUUUUCUUGUGUUUCUUACUAUUUGAUCCUUGACAGUCUGUAUGAUGGAAGCCAUUUCCCUCUGUGAUGUCCUUUUCAUUGCCAGCGUUUAAGAAUGCGUUUAGCAUCACUUCAGAAAUAACGAGUUCAAGCUCAAGUAUACACAGUACAUGGAAGAUACUGCCAUUCAUUGUCUCUUUUACUGAAUUUUGUUUCUUUUUAUAAUUAUCUUUAUGUUUGAAUCCUAAGAAUAUGUUCUUUGGUGAAUUUUAUUAAUUACAUCCCCUUCUAAUGGAUUUAAAUUUUUUCCAAACCAGGUCACUGUUUAUUAUGUUAUUAAAAUGAUAAUAUUUCAUUUCCUAUUCAAAAAGAAACUAUUUUGUUGUCUUUGCUGAUUUGUGAGGAUGAAUGGAGUUCUAUUAAAUAAAAUGUCACUAAAUGAAAUUCUGGAUUUGCAAAUAUUGGGGUGUGUAUGUGUCUACACAGUUUUUCAUCAGA